Molecule: ribosomal RNA, 279 nt
Filed under: uncultured bacterium
Lineage: Bacteria
Description: partial 16S ribosomal RNA
Rfam family: Bacterial small subunit ribosomal RNA
Source: RNAcentral
UGCCAGCCGCCGCGGUAACACGUACUGUGCGAACGUUAUUCGGAAUCACUGGGCUUAAAGGGUGCGUAGGCGGUUUAAUAAGUAGGGUGUGAAAUCCCAUGGCUCACCCAUGGAACUGUUUUCCGAACUACUAGGCUUGAGGACAGGAGGGGGAAGUGGAAUUCCUGGUGUAGCGGUGAAAUGCGUAGAUAUCAGGAGGAACACCGGUGGCGAAAGCGACUUCCUGGCCUGUUCCUGACACUGAGGCGCGAAAGCUAGGGGAGCAAACAGGAUUAGAUA